AACGAACGCUGGCGGCAUGCCUAACACAUGCAAGUCGAACGAGACCUUCGGGUCUAGUGGCGCACGGGUGCGUAACGCGUGGGAACCUGCACUUAGGUUCGGACUAACUCCCCGAAAGGGGUGCUAAUACCGGAUAAUGUCUUCGGACCAAAGAUUUAUCGCAUUUGGAUGGGCCCGCGUUGGAUUAGCUAGUUGGUAGGGUAAAAGCCUACCAAGGCGACGAUCCAUAACUGGUCUGAGAGGAUGAUCAGCCACACUGGGACUGAGACACGGCCGAGACUCCUACGGGAGGCGGCAGUGGGGAAUAGUGGACAAUGGGCUAAAGCCUGAUCCAGUAAUGCCGGGAGAGUGAUGAAGGCCGUAGGGAUGUAAAGCUCUUUUACCCGUGAUGAUAAUGACAGUACCGAGAGAAUAAGCUCCGGCUAACUCCGUG
RNAcentral lists this ribosomal RNA (433 nucleotides) under uncultured bacterium. RNAcentral's name for it is "partial 16S ribosomal RNA". It matches the Rfam family "Bacterial small subunit ribosomal RNA", at positions 29 to 507 of the family's 1533-position model. The record is from RNAcentral.